AUUGAACGCUGGAGGUAUGCUUAACACAUGCAAGUCGAAACCCGAAAGCUCCUUCGGGAGCAAGUAGAGUGGCGGACGGGUGAGUAACGCGUAGGAAUAUACCUAGUAGUGGGGGAUAGCCCGGGGAAACUCGGAUUAAUACCGCAUAUGUCUCACGAGAUAAAGAGGGCCUCUUCUUGAAAGCUCUUGCUACUAGAUUAGCAUGCGUCGGAUUAGCUUGUUGGUAGGGUAAUGGCCUACCAAGGCGACGAUCCGUAGCUGGUCUGAGAGGAUGAUCAGCCACACUGGGAGUGAGACACGGCCCAGACUCCUACGGGAGGCAGCAGUGGGGAAUAUUGGACAAUGGGCGCAAGCCUGAUCCAGCAAUACCUCGUGUGUGAAGAAGGCCUUAGGGUUGUAAAGCACUUUCAAUUGGGACGAAAAGUUUAAGAUUAAUACUCUUAGACCUUGACGGUACCUUUAGAAGAAGCACCGGCUAACUCCGUGCCAGCAGCCGCGGUAAUACGGAGGGUGCAAGCGUUAAUCGGAAUUACUGGGCGUAAAGCGCGCGUAGGUGGUUUGAUAAGUCAGAUGUGAAAGCCCUGGGCUUAACCUAGGAACUGCAUUUGAAACUGUCUCACUAGAGUAUGGUAGAGGGAAGUGGAAUUCCACAUGUAGCGGUGAAAUGCGUAGAGAUGUGGAGGAACACCAGUGGCGAAGGCGACUUCACUGGACCAAUACUGA
This 723-nucleotide ribosomal RNA is filed under the name gamma proteobacterium IMCC14652. RNAcentral describes it as "bacterial SSU rRNA". It matches the Rfam family "Bacterial small subunit ribosomal RNA", at positions 28 to 743 of the family's 1533-position model. Lineage: Bacteria; Pseudomonadati; Pseudomonadota; Gammaproteobacteria. The record is from RNAcentral.